UGCUUUUUGAGCAAUUAAUCUUUUUGCCUUUUCCGUAAAAUGUAUUCUUACAUCAUUCAUCUGAAAUAAUUUCUUGUACUGCUUCCCGAGAGCGUUUUUUGGUUCCAUUAGAACCUGAACAAGUUGAUCCUCGGUUAGAGCGGUCAAACUAACUAAAAUUGGAAACCGUCCUAUGAACUCGGGUAUCAGUCCAUAAGCUAUAAGAUCA
This 208-nucleotide long non-coding RNA is filed under the name Helianthus annuus (common sunflower). RNAcentral describes it as "hypothetical non coding rna". The record is from RNAcentral. Lineage: Eukaryota; Viridiplantae; Streptophyta; Magnoliopsida; Asterales; Asteraceae.